Molecule: long non-coding RNA, 369 nt
Organism: Budorcas taxicolor (takin)
Lineage: Eukaryota; Metazoa; Chordata; Mammalia; Artiodactyla; Bovidae
Exons: 3
Source: RefSeq, a predicted model, not a curated record
GCCGUUUCCUCCUCCAGCGACCUUCCUGACCCAGGGAUCUUCCGGACCCAGGGAUCGAACCUGCGUCUCCUGCGUUGGCAGGCAGAUGGUUCACCACCAAACCUCCUGGGGAAGCCUGGCCAUGUUUCAUGGGAUGAAUGUUUUCAGCCCCUAGAGACAUGUGCCUGAGAGAACCGCCAACACAUGGGCACAAGAUACUCACACAGGAAGGUCCGCAGAUGCGCUCUUCAUGUAUGGAAGAUAAGAAAUCUUUAAGAAAGAUUCUCCAGGCAAGAAUACUGGAGUGGAUUGCCAUUUCCGCCUCCAGGGGAUCUUCCCGACCCAGGGAUCGAACCCGCAUCUCUCAGAUCUCCUGCCCAAGGGAACACC